This 304-nucleotide long non-coding RNA is filed under the name Capsella grandiflora. RNAcentral describes it as "long non-coding RNA (CGRA_LNC001750)". The record is from RNAcentral. Lineage: Eukaryota; Viridiplantae; Streptophyta; Magnoliopsida; Brassicales; Brassicaceae.
CUAGUUUCACAUGUCUGGUGUAUCUCUACCAAAUUGCAUCUCAUUCCGAGUUCAGCUGAUCGUCGGUUUAAUGUCUCCAUCAUAGGUGGUCAGAUCUUAAACUUGAGAUAAUCUGUGCCUAGAUCAGAUUGAAGAAGCUCAAAUAAACUACAAGCCAACCGUCCAAAUCUCAAUCCCACCGUUGCAACUCAAAACAGAAUUUCAGCUCAAUCAGAAUACGUUUCAUCCACUAAAAGUUACCUUCAAUCAGACAUCUUGAAACUGUUUUCUCAUCACUUCUCUAAUCUGUAAAUCAUAUACAUUG